Molecule: long non-coding RNA, 2770 nt
Filed under: Brassica napus (rape)
Lineage: Eukaryota; Viridiplantae; Streptophyta; Magnoliopsida; Brassicales; Brassicaceae
Description: long non-coding RNA (BNAP_LNC026666)
Source: RNAcentral
UGGAUAAUUGGUCCACGAUCUAGAUUUAUUAUUUGUUAAGACAUGUGUUUUGUUUUCAGUUGUCUUUGAAUGCAAAUCUUCUGUUUUUGUAUGUUAAAUGAACUCUUACGUGUUAUAUACUACUCCCGAAUAUAUAUGACUUGGCUAAUAAGAUCGUUUCAGUUCCAAAGAGAGAGUCCCUUGAAGCUUCCGAACAUCGUGGCUUGAUUCCAGGCAGCGGAACGGGACAAUAGCGGCUUCAUCGACGACGACAAAGAGCUUCAGGGGGAAUGCUGGUGUAUUGGGUUGAGUCGAGCUAUAUAUUUAACUUUUUGCGGUUUUACGCCUACAUGAGAAUUACGGUUAGUCGAUCGAGGUCUUAACCAAUGACUUUUUGUUGUUGCUUCGCUUUUUCUCUGAGCUAUCCCAUGGCCGGUCAGCCAUCCACCUUUCCAACCAGCUCCAACCCUAAGCCGGGCUGUUAGGAUCCAUGAACAGCGUGUUUUCAGGUUUCAGGUUGCUCUUCAAGUCUUGCUGCAAGUAUAAGCCAGAUAAUAUCAUUAGGCAUUUAUACCAACCCGAUGCUACUGGCUACAAUUGUGAAGAUAUCAAACUUCAGGCCUCAUAGAAUUUUAAGGAGCUUUUAAAGACUGCAUUGUCUAGAAGUUCAACUUUAAUGGUCUUGCACGUUUCUAAAUGAUUACACAUAAGCCUCUAAACCCCUAAGUAUAAUAGCAUAGAAGAUAUAUCUGGUACACAUGAGAGUACCUGAUGUGUGAAUGCAUAAGCCAAUGCUCUUUUCCUUCUCAUUGUCGUCUCGUACUUAUUCAACAAACCUCCUUUGAGUGAUUGAUGUUGUUCCAGUUACAAAGGGUUGAAAAGCUAAUGCAUUCCCAAGAUCCACUCAUACGAAGUGACUGAGUUACAAAAAACGCUGGGCAGGAUAAUGAAACUUGGAAGUGGUAAAUGACAACUGCAUCUGAGAGUACACAAAAGUGACACUUUUAAUGCCUCUAAUCUCUUUAGCAUGAUUCUGAAGAAGUUACUUAUGGCCAGCCUGAUUCUCUUCUUACAUCAUGAUUCUCCUGGAACAGAUUUGUGACUGUACACGAAUGAGAAUCUAGAUAAAUUUAAGGUCAUUUGCAGCUAACUUAUUCCCUUAACUAAUUCAUUGAUUAAGGGAAUUAUUAGUUGAUGAAAAUCGCAAGGUCUCUGUUUUUGGGUCUUAAGGGUGUUUACCCCACUAGCGAUCACGACACCGGUAACAACAGGGACGAGAGCACCAUAAGUAAUCCAAGCCUCUCUCUUAAACGUCAUGAGAUACGCAAACAGCGCUGUGAAAAACGGCGUCGUAGCCCCCACGGCUUGAUUAAACGAAACAGGAAGAUAACGAAGGGAGACGUUUCCUCCAACAACGGAGGCGCAGAAGACGACGCUGAGAGUCGCGACUUUCAUGAACUGGGAGCGAGAUUUGAGGUGCUGGAGAGGGACGAGCUUGAGGAAGACGAUGGAGAGGUAGCUGAGGAUGGCGCAGGCGGACAUGUGGCACAUCGUGAGGAAGAUGGGGAAUUUGAAUCCGUAGUUUGAGAGGAGGAACUUGUUGAGGAGAAGGACGCCGAUGUUGGAGGUGUACCAGAGGAUGAUUAGGGAUAAUAUGAAGAGGGUUUGUUUCUUCGGGGAAGAUGAUGAAGAAGACGACGAUGAGGACAUUUCUGGUUUUUGAUCUGGGUUCUUCUUGUUGUUGUUCAUCUUCUUCGUUGAUGAGAUGAAAUCGAAAUGUGGUUGGAGUUUUUGAUAGGAGACGAGAUAAAUUAGCUCCUUGCCUCGUGCAUGGGGAUGAGAGAAAGUAUUGAACUGUUGUGUUAGUAAACGUAAUUAAUGCAACAUUAUUAAAUUUAUAAGACAAUUGAUCAUCUUAAAAGCAAUUUAGGAUUUUUUUUUUUUGUCAAAUUGGUAUUCAUGGCAGUUUGUUUUCCUCGGAUUAGGUAAGAAAUUUGGAUAAUUGGUCCACGAUCUAGAUUUAUUAUUUGUUAAGACAUGUGUUUUGUUUUCAGUUGUCUUUGAAUGCAAAUCUUCUGUUUUUGUAUGUUAAAUGAACUCUUACGUGUUAUAUACUACUCCCGAAUAUAUAUGACUUGGCUAAUAAGAUCGUUUCAGUUCCAAAGAGAGAGUCCCUUGAAGCUUCCGAACAUCGUGGCUUGAUUCCAGGCAGCGGAACGGGACAAUAGCGGCUUCAUCGACGACGACAAAGAGCUUCAGGGGGAAUGCUGGUGUAUUGGGUUGAGUCGAGCUAUAUAUUUAACUUUUUGCGGUUUUACGCCUACAUGAGAAUUACGGUUAGUCGAUCGAGGUCUUAACCAAUGACUUUUUGUUGUUGCUUCGCUUUUUCUCUGAGCUAUCCCAUGGCCGGUCAGCCAUCCACCUUUCCAACCAGCUCCAACCCUAAGCCGGGCUGUUAGGAUCCAUGAACAGCGUGUUUUCAGGUUUCAGGUUGCUCUUCAAGUCUUGCUGCAAGUAUAAGCCAGAUAAUAUCAUUAGGCAUUUAUACCAACCCGAUGCUACUGGCUACAAUUGUGAAGAUAUCAAACUUCAGGCCUCAUAGAAUUUUAAGGAGCUUUUAAAGACUGCAUUGUCUAGAAGUUCAACUUUAAUGGUCUUGCACGUUUCUAAAUGAUUACACAUAAGCCUCUAAACCCCUAAGUAUAAUAGCAUAGAAGAUAUAUCUGGUACACAUGAGAGUACCUGAUGUGUGAAUGCAUAAGCCAAUGCUCUUUUCCUUCUCAUUGUCGUC